CUCGAUCAGAGAACUGUUUUGUGAACGUAGUCGCCUUCUGCAGCAUCGCACGAGUUUAUUAACCCAGAGUACUAUGUUGGAUCCUAUCACCAUUGCAGCAAUCAUCAAGGGCGCAACAACCGUUUGGAGAGUAUAUCAACAAAGGAGAUUAGAGAAUAGGAUAAUGGAGAUGGAGCUACAAAUUCUGAUUCAAAUGCACAAUGAAUUGGAGAUGCAGAGGCAGAUGCUAGGGUACCCGGUCCGGCACUUCCACCACUGAUGGACCCAUGCAUGGGAUGGGAAAUGCUUUCUUUGUGUUUCUUCUCCUGUUUGAAUGCUUUCUUUGUGAUUCUUCUCCUGUUUGAAUGCUAUCUUUGUGUG
This is a long non-coding RNA of Rhododendron vialii, 360 nucleotides long. RefSeq lists it as uncharacterized. Lineage: Eukaryota; Viridiplantae; Streptophyta; Magnoliopsida; Ericales; Ericaceae. The transcript is spliced from 3 exons. The record is from RefSeq and is a predicted model, not a curated record.